This 756-nucleotide ribosomal RNA is filed under the name Flavobacterium sp. Its description in RNAcentral is "bacterial SSU rRNA". It matches the Rfam family "Bacterial small subunit ribosomal RNA", at positions 90 to 849 of the family's 1533-position model. The record is from RNAcentral. Lineage: Bacteria; Pseudomonadati; Bacteroidota; Flavobacteriia; Flavobacteriales; Flavobacteriaceae.
AGAGACCGGCGCACGGGUGCGUAACGCGUAUGCAAUCUACCUUUUACAGAGGGAUAGCCCAGAGAAAUUUGGAUUAAUACCUCAUAGUAUAGUGACUCGGCAUCGAGAUACUAUUAAAGUCACAACGGUAAAAGAUGAGCAUGCGUCCCAUUAGCUAGUUGGUAAGGUAACGGCUUACCAAGGCUACGAUGGGUAGGGGUCCUGAGAGGGAGAUCCCCCACACUGGUACUGAGACACGGACCAGACUCCUACGGGAGGCAGCAGUGAGGAAUAUUGGACAAUGGGCGCAAGCCUGAUCCAGCCAUGCCGCGUGCAGGAUGACGGUCCUAUGGAUUGUAAACUGCUUUUGUACGAGAAGAAACACUCCUACGUGUUGGAGCUUGACGGUAUCGUAAGAAUAAGGAUCGGCUAACUCCGUGCCAGCAGCCGCGGUAAUACGGAGGAUCCAAGCGUUAUCCGGAAUCAUUGGGUUUAAAGGGUCCGUAGGCGGUUUAGUAAGUCAGUGGUGAAAGCCCAUCGCUCAACGGUGGAACGGCCAUUGAUACUGCUAAACUUGAAUUAUUAGGAAGUAACUAGAAUAUGUAGUGUAGCGGUGAAAUGCUUAGAGAUUACAUGGAAUACCAAUUGCGAAGGCAGGUUACUACUAAUGGAUUGACGCUGAUGGACGAAAGCGUGGGUAGCGAACAGGAUUAGAUACCCUGGUAGUCCACGCCGUAAACGAUGGAUACUAGCUGUUGGGAGCAAUCUCAGUGGCUA